This 893-nucleotide ribosomal RNA is filed under the name uncultured bacterium. Its description in RNAcentral is "bacterial SSU rRNA". It matches the Rfam family "Bacterial small subunit ribosomal RNA", at positions 505 to 1398 of the family's 1533-position model. The record is from RNAcentral.
GUGCCAGCAGCCGCGGUAAUACGUAGGGUGCGAGCGUUAAUCGGAAUUACUGGGCGUAAAGCGUGCGCAGGUGGUUUUGUAAGUCAGAUGUGAAAUCCCCGGGCUUAACCUGGGAACUGCGUUUGAAACUGCAAGGCUAGAGUGUGGCAGAGGGGGGUGGAAUUCCGCGUGUAGCAGUGAAAUGCGUAGAGAUGUGGAGGAACACCGAUGGCGAAGGCAGCCCCCUGGGUCAGCACUGACGCUCAGGCACGAAAGCAUGGGGAGCAAACAGGAUUAGAUACCCUGGUAGUCCAUGCCCUAAACGAUGUCAACUAGUUGUCGGGUCUUAACGGGCUUGGUAACGUAGCUAACGCGUGAAGUUGACCGCCUGGGGAGUACGAUCGCAAGAUUAAAACUCAAAGGAAUUGACGGGGACCCGCACAAGCGGUGGAUUAUGUGGAUUAAUUCGAUGCAACGCGAAAAACCUUACCUACCCUUGACAUGUAUCGAAGCCCGCGGAGAUGUGGGUGUGCCCGAAAGGGAACGAUAACACAGGUGCUGCAUGGCUGUCGUCAGCUCGUGUCGUGAGAUGUUGGGUUAAGUCCCGCAACGAGCGCAACCCUUGUCAUUAAUUGCCAUCAUUUAGUUGGGCACUUUAAUGAGACUGCCGGUGACAAACCGGAGGAAGGUGGGGAUGACGUCAAGUCCUCAUGGCCCUUAUGGGUAGGGCUUCACACGUAAUACAAUGGCGCGUACAGAGGGUUGCCAACCCGCGAGGGGGAGCCAAUCUCAGAAAGCGUGUCGUAGUCCGGAUCGGAGUCUGCAACUCGACUCCGUGAAGUCGGAAUCGCUAGUAAUCGCGGAUCAGCAUGUCGCGGUGAAUACGUUCCCGGGUCUUGCACACACCGCCCGUC